Molecule: long non-coding RNA, 7698 nt
Filed under: Gossypium barbadense (sea-island cotton)
Lineage: Eukaryota; Viridiplantae; Streptophyta; Magnoliopsida; Malvales; Malvaceae
Description: long non-coding RNA (GBAR_LNC009957)
Source: RNAcentral
GAAAUCUUGAUCGCGGAAAUUGAAGAGGAUGGGGAGACCUUCCUUUUGGUGGCGUUGCUGACGCAAACAAAAGCCGGAGUGUGGCCACGAGGGGGGUUUGAGCGGUCGAUGGUGGGAGGGGAGUGAGAGUGACAUUCAGUCGAUGGUGGUAAGAAGAUUUUUUUUUUUCGUUUAUACUUUUUUUUAUUUCAUAAAUUUAUUAAUUUAAUUUAAAUUUCAUGGCAUUAAUAACGUAAAAUAGAAUAAUUUCUAAUCUAAUUGCCACGUGGGUUAAUCAAACAAGUUAGCAAGGACUUAACGGGCUCAUAAGUACCUUAACGGAGAUGACAAUUAAAAAUAUCCAAUUGAUUGUUAAAUUUUAAUUAAAAAUUUAAUUGAUUGGACUUUUUAAUUAAAGCUCAAUUCAUUUUUAAACUAUUUUCAAGAGAUUUUUUUUAAUAUUUUAGUUCUUUUUCUAAAAAUAUUUUCAUUUUUUUGUUAAAUAAUAUGUUUUAAUUAAAUAUUUAAAAUAUUUUUUUUUCAAAUUUAAGUUUAAGUUUUUAUAUUUUAAUUUCGAAACAUUUUUUAUUUAAAUAUUUUAAUUUUUCAAUCUAAUUUUAUUAUUAGUGGCUGUAAUAAAAUAAUCUUUUUAACUCUCGUCGAGAGUGUUCUCUGAAGGAUAAAUAAUUUACUAAAAAUGUAUUUUAAUCUAAUAAAUUCUCGACCAUAUAAUUAAUGGACGAAAUAAGCGACCACGAUGCUCAACCUUAUGAUUUGAGUUUUACACUUAGAAACCAAAUUCACAUGCUUACACCACGAAUUCAGGUUACCCCUCCCCUCUCAUCAAGAAUCCAUUUAAAGCUAAUCACUUAUAUUUAUUUAAAGAUCAGAAUAUUCAUUUUGAAGAUUUAAUAAAAAUAUUAAGUUUAAACUAAAAAUUCAUUUUAAAAUGAAUCAUAACUUGAUUUGAUCUAGUUUCAUUUUUAAGUUUAUAAUAAGAUUUUUUUUCUUUAAUCUAUAUUAUAUAAUUUAUAUAUAAUAUAAAAAUAAAUAUGCUAUGAUUAUUGAAAAAAAUCAUAAUGUAAAUAUUAAAAUACGUGUUUGGUUGUUUACUUCUAAAAUUUUAAUAUAAUACAUUAAAAAAAAUUGUUUAUAAAAAAUAACUAAAUAUUAACAAAAAUAAUAUAAAUGUUUAAAAGAAUUAAUUUAAAUAAUAUGAAUAAGCUCAAACAUAUUUAAAGUAGACAUUUACAAAUAUAAAUGAGUUUAAGCAAAAUCUAAAAUUUAUAUUUUAAACCGAAUUUAAAUAACUAUAAAUAUUACUGAUAUAAUACAUGAACUCGACUUAAACUUGACAUGUUCCGACACUUACUCGAUUUGUCUUUGUCAUAUGUGAGGUGCAGUUAUUAAAUUUAUAAAUAGAGAGAGAGGGAGAGAACAAAUGUAACAAAUUAAAAUGGACCAAGAACCGCGUUGCAAAUUACAGAAAGAACAAAAAAGCUGGCCAAUGUUGUUAUUGUUCUAUCAUGGCUAAUUUAUGUCUACUAACAAUUAACAUUCUGCUUGACAAAACAUUUACAAGGUGAUUGGUGCAAUUUACAACUUCAACCUUGAGGAGCAAAAAAGGCCAGUAAAAUAACGCAAUCCAAUUAUGAACAACCCCAUCCAUCGGAUAUUUACAGGCUAAACUAUUGAACCCCAAAUUAAGAUUCUAAAAGUUUAGAUAUAUCUUACACCUGAUUAGGCGUCAUCAGACUUUGGGCCUCUUUCACAGUUGAACUAACAGCAUAGAGCACCAUCUUUUUUACCUGUAGAUGAGAAAAUCCAAUGAAAUCUGUCACAUAAUUACUCACUUUCGUCUAAUAGAAUCUCUAAAGGCAAUUCAUUAUCUACGUUUUUAAUUUUGAUAGAUCACCAUAAUGCCUGCAGUACGAUAUAAUCAUCUUCUUCUUAAACUUCUGGACAAUUCAGUAGAUGAUAUUUUGUAUGCAUGUCAAAAUUCAAUGAUGAGUGCAAGAAGAGAUGAUUAAGAAGAUUGGAGAAUUUUCUUUUUCUUUUUUCAUUUUAAUUCUGAAAAUGAAUUUACCUGUCAACAUGAAACUAACUUCCUUUACUAACUAACCCAAGUAUUAACAUGUCUAGUUGAUUCUCUACACUCUCCCUCAACUUAGAAGUAAAAUAACCAUGCUGCUGCAUUUCAAGAUUUCUUGUGAUGAUUUCUACAAGUUGCCCUUUUAUGGAUAUAUGUUGGGUUUGAAUAAGAUUUUCCCGAGUUUUCUCCCUCUAUCUGUUCUGUUCUUUUAUGAUAUAUUGGAUUGGCAAUAGAAGUGUUUAACAUAUUUUAUUCUUACUUACGUUUAACUUAACUCAAAAUGUAAACCUAAAAUCUUACUUAAACCUGUCUAUAUUUGUAAAUGGUAAAUUCAAGCCCAUUUUAAGCCUAAUAAUAUUAAUUUUUAAUUUUUUGAAAAAUAUUUAUAUUAUUUUUAAUUUAAUAUUUAAUAAUUUUAAAUAUUUCUCAUUUAUUAUUCUUUUAUGCAAGGGUAAAGGAUGAGACAAUACGAUUUGAACCCAUGUCAAAUACUUAUUUGACAAGAGUUUUAACCAUCACCCCAUAGAAGUCAAGAUUUGUUACUAAAGAUUUAAUUUCUAUCUAUAGGAAAAUGAAGUUCUUUUGCCCAACUCAUUUUUCGAGUCUAAGGAUUUUUCUAAAUACUUUCAAAUUUCGAGUAGACCUUUGGGUUUGGAUGAGUAGCCUUACCCAUGUCUAAUUGGUAGCAAUUUCAAGGGCUGCUUGGUUGUCAUAGACAGCUUGAUGGGUCUUUUGUCUUCAAAUCCAAUUUCCAUUACGAGUCCUAAUAACUAAACAAGUUUUGCAAUAGUGAGUGCCAUCCUCCUGUAUUUAGCUUUGAUUGAGGACCUUGAAAUAGUAUUUUGCUUCAACUUCUAGGAUAUAAAAGAGUUUCCUAGCUUUCUGUAGAAAUCUAUCAUUGACUUUCUAGUCAUAAGACAAGAAGCAAAAUUAGAAAUGCAAUAUGCAACUAAUUUUGGAGAACCAAAGGCAAUAAAAAGAAUGCCUUGUCCUGGAUCCUUCUUGAUAUACCUUAACAAUUGGAUGAAACUUCGUAAUGCGACUUUUUUUACUUCUACAUGAAAUGGCUUAAAUUGUCAACUGCAUAUGUGAUGUUGCAUCUCGUGUGUUUUAAAAACAAGAGCCUUCCUAUGAGCUGUUGAUAAAGAGUUUCAUCUUCAAAGACUUCAUGAAUAUCUAUCUGCAAAUGCUAAUAAUCAUUUUUGGUGGAAAUUUUUUAUUUUCCAACAGAAUGCCGGCUGUUUUGGCUCCCUCUAGCCUUGUGUCUAAAAUAAGUUCUGAGACAUAUUUUCUCUAAUUCAAAACAAUUCCAACUUUUGACCUUACUGGUUCAAGGGUCCUUUAUUUUGAAAUGCUGGUGUAUUAUGAACUUCAAAUAUGAUAUUAAAACAACAUCAUUUGUAUGGUCAAGAUCAUCCACAUAUAAAAACAAAACAACAAUUUUACGUUCUUGUCUUUUAGUGAACAUUGAGUAGACAUGCUUCCUCUGAGUAACCAUCACCAAAGAGAGCUUUUGUAAGUUCUAAAUUCCAUUGGUGAGAAGCUUGCUUCAAGCCAUAAAGGAGCUUGAGAAACUCACAUACUCAAUCCUCCCCAUGAUUGUGAAAUCUUGAUGGAAGGUCCAUGUAUACCUUUUGUACACAUCCAUUUGAUACAUAGGCCAAUUGAACAUUGAUACUGUAACAAUAACAAGCUUCUCAGUAACUUGUUUUGCAACCUGAAAAAGGUGACGCACUAAUCAAUUCCUUCCUUCUAGCCAUAUCCCUUUGCCACUAAACAUGGUUGAACCUUUCAACCUAUCCAUUGGCACUUUAUAUACUCAUUUGCAACCAAUAGGAACUAUCCCAUACAGUAUGGGAAUUAUUUUUCAUGUGUCCUGUCUCCUAACACUUCUUAUUUUUACUUAUUUUUUUAUUAUUUUGGCCCUAAUUCUUUUCUAGGAUCACUUUGACCCUUAACCUUUAAAUUUAGUAAAAUUAUUUUUUUAUAGAAAAGUUAAUUGAAUUGUUACAAUUUAAACAACACAACCGUAACAAUCAGCAUGACAAUCCACAUUUCCUUCAUUGUUGACGUGCACAAGUUUUUAAAAUUUUUUAUGAACUUUUUCUUAAAUCUUUUAAAUCUUUAAAAUAAAUUUUAUGUAUUUGUUUUAAUUUUUAUUGUUGAUGAUAGUAAUCUUACGUUAAAGUAUCAUAUUGACUAGCAAAAACUUAGGGAUCGGACUAGCAUAGAAUUAGGAAGUGUAAUCUUUGAUAUUUCCUUCUUUGUAUAUAUAACUACUAGUAUAAAGAGGAUAUGUAUUACGGUGUACAUUUAUAUAGAAAUGGAUUUAGAAUAUUUCCCUUUUCUCUAUUUUUCCUCUAUUUUCCUCACGGCUGAAACAACCAUAAUAGAAAUAGAACAACAACCUUAUUUCUUCUCUAUUCUCUUCUUUCUCUCUCAAUUUCACAUGGUAUUCUGCUAAACCACUCUCAUCGCCCCUCCCAUUAAAAUAUGUAGCCUUUGUCGACCCUCCGGUCGAAAUAUCAUUGCCAGAAUCGGCAUGUGUAGCCCACACACGCACCACAAAGGUUUCUACUCAUUUCCUACGCGCUGGUAUUUGAAAGUGCAUGCACCACCCUCCGGCCAUCGUUCUCCUCCAUGAGUCUUCAUGAAGGUUUGUGCUGUCCGUCCCCCUCCAGUGGUGCUGCCCCCGUAUAGUUUCAACCUUAACUUCUAUUUUAAUUAAUUUUCUUUCACCCUUGCUAUGGAUCCUUCAAGUUCUACCAAACUUUUCUUCUCUGCUUUCUAUAAUUAUUCUACUAUUACUACUAUCAAACUAUAAUGCAAUAAUAAUUAUGUUUCUUAGGUUGCUUCUGUCGAAUUGUGAUUUAUGGGGAAAGGCUAUAGAGAACGUCUUAAAAAAGAUGUUAAUGCCGUUGAUGAAAAGAGUAGAGAUUAUUAGGUUAAACUUGAUCCCAAUUAUGUAGCCUGCUAUGACAUUCGCUUGAGCCAAAGUUACUUACAUUGCUAUAGUCUUGCAAAACUUCUUACAGAGUUUGGCUAAGGCCAAGAACCUAUAUACUAAUGAUAUUCAGUGGAUCAACAAUGUUAUUUCAGAUCUUGUCCAUCUACAGUAAAGUCAAUAAGAUAUAUGACUAGUUAUUUGGGUCAAGUUGAAUUGUUGAAGGAUGAGUUUAAUGUUGUUAUGAUUCUUAUCAAGAAAUUUGGGUAUCAGGAGAAGUAAAGGGAUAAAUUCUUUAUGGUUCUGGCUCUGAUUGGAUUGCGUACAUAUUUAGCUUCGAUGAAAAUCAUAUUAAUACUAGCUCAACCAUUCCUAUUCCUGAUUAGAUAACUGCUUGACUACUUCGCAUCUCCUUAACUUAAGCUCAAUGAGAGGUAUAAUCAUCUAUGCUAACCAUUUAGGAUACAAGCCCACAAGGCGAUGGUAAAAAAGGAAGAAGGAGAGAGCUUAGCCUCAUAGCACCUACUAUGAUCAAAGUGGGCACAUAUGUGAAAUUUGUUGGGCUUUACAUGGGAGAUUCUCUUGCAAUAAUCCACCCAUUGCACAUUUAACCCAAGUUUAAGGAGAUAGGACUAUUCCGCUUCUAAUUUCUCAUACAUAAAGAUGAGUCAAAUCUAUCACCUUAUCUAAAUCAGAUUAUGAUGAAUAUUUAUAAUAUCAAGCCUUGAAACAACAAUUCGAUAAUUUUGUUGCUGGUGUAACUCAUUUUUCCUCAAAUGGACCUUAGAUAUUUAACUUAGAUGUUUUCGACCAUAUUUCUAGUAAUAAAAAUAAUUUUAUACUCUCACCUCUCCUUCUUCCUCCACUACAAGUAACUUAGCUAAUGGAUUUCAAUCUUUGGUCAAAGGUGUCAAGAAAAUUUAUCUCAUCUCCGCUUUGCCUUUACCUUUAAUAUCAGUUGUAUAUGCUUCAGAAUACCCUUAUAACUUGAUUUCCAUUAGUAAAUUUUCUAAGAAAUUUAAUUGUCCAAUCAAUUUUUAUUUCCACUCUGUUUUAACAACCCUCUAACAAGUAUAUGUUUUUCAUUCAAACACUCUAUUAUAUUAUGGAUUAUGAACACAUCAAAUUUGAUGAAUUAUGCCAAGAGAAGAGAAGGGUUACUUUCUGAAUCAAAAUUUUCAUCACUAUUGUUAAUUUUAACGAUUUAAAUACAAGCAGUUUGAACUAUAAGAAUAAAUGGUUUUAAACAAACAACUGUAUCACUUUCAAGUAUCCAUGUAAUUCUAAUAUGAUCAUCAACAAUGGUUAAGAAUAAUUUAUGACAUUUAUAGGUAGAUAUACGAUAUGGACCCCACAAGUCAACAUGAAUAAGAGAAAAAACAAUGUCACAACAUGAUUAGCCAAUUGGAAAAUGUAGUGAAGAUUAAAUAACAAGAGGACAAACAAAAUAUUAAACAACAUGAUUUUGGCUUUGCCUCCUAACAUUUUCACUUUUGUUAUUUUGACCCUAUUUUUUUUUCACUUUGGCCCUCAAAUUUUAAAUUUUAGUCAAAUUACUUUCUUUUUAAAAGAAAAAAUUUAUAGUACUAUUAAAAUUUUAUUGGCAUUGGCAUGACAACUCACUCGACAAUUGAUAUAUACUUCAUAAAAAAUACAAAAUUAUUAAAAUAUUCAAAAAGACUUCAUAAUUUUUAUUUUAAAAAUUCAAAAAAGUAUGAAGUUUUCACUAAACUUUAAGAUAAAAAUAAUAAUUUGACUAAAAUUUUGUUGAGGAUAAAGGUGGUUUUGCCAAAAUGGGUAAAAUUAAAGUAAAAAAAUAGAUAAAUGUUGAGGGCUAAAUUUAUUAUUAUGCUAAUAAUUUUUAUUCAAAAUUUUAUUUUGGAAAAGAGACAUUUAGUUCAUUUUUGACAAUGAUGCAUGUCUACAUCCAUUAUGCGAAAGAGAUUAUUCUAAUUUAUAUAUAUAUAUAUAUAAAAACCACAAUGAAAGAUACAGAAGCUAACUUAGUAUAUGAAUGAAUUUGAUAUGGCAGACCUUAUUCUUUAUCAGGAUAAAAUGAAAGAAAGCAAUUUAGAUCUAGGGUGCAUUUCGAAAUGGAAAGCAAAUCUUAAUGAAAAUCUGGUGUGUAGAGAAUGCUGGUUAGAUUAUCAUCAAUUGGAAGAGUAUAUGAGCCAAUACGUGUAACGGGGAUUGCUUCACCAUUAGACAAUUGGACAAAACUUGAUUAAGAAGAGCAAGAAAUUGAAGAUUUUGAACAUUGCAAGUCAGAUAUCAUAUGAUUAGUAGCCCGUGUGUUCAAGAUCCAUUCUAAGGAUGAUAUUUUGAUAGAGGUGAAUCUAGAAACCAUACCUGUCAUAUUGCAGUUGCAUCAACAGAUAUUCCCUUAUUAAGUAAUCCCAGAAUUUGUUGAUACUAUGCUUGAGUAAAGACUAAAGCCUGUUGAGAUGUCAAAGCGUCAUUUCCAUCUAAAGAUUCCAAGGCAAUAACAUGAUUUGCUGAGGAUGAUAAACUUAGAUUCCUUUUCUCUGUAAAUUUGAAAUCUGAUGGGUAUCCAAUCAGUCAGCAACAAUUCUCUUUCUUGUGCACUUUAACUUUGCCGUCUUUAAAUAUACCAUUGAACUUUUUUUUUAUUUGUUGAGCAUUCGAAGAUUACAAGGCAGUAGGCGCAAACAUUGCUUUGGAA